RNAcentral lists this ribosomal RNA (600 nucleotides) under uncultured bacterium. RNAcentral describes it as "bacterial SSU rRNA". It matches the Rfam family "Bacterial small subunit ribosomal RNA", at positions 38 to 673 of the family's 1533-position model. The record is from RNAcentral.
UGCUUCAGGCCUAACACAUGCAAGUCGAACGUGAAGCAGGAGCUUGCUCCUGUGGAAAGUGGCAGACGGGUGAGUAACGCGUGGGAAUCUACCAGCUCUACGGAAUAACGCAGGGAAACUUGUGCUAAUACCGUAUACGUCCUCCGGGAGAAAGAUUUAUCGGAGUUGGAUGAGCCCGCGUUAGAUUAGUUUGUUGGUGGGGUAACGGCCUACCAAGACUACGAUCUAUAGCUGGUCUGAGAGGAUGAUCAGCCACACUGGGACUGAGACACGGCCCAGACUCCUACGGGAGGCAGCAGUGGGGAAUAUUGCACAAUGGGCGCAAGCCUGAUGCAGCCAUGCCGCGUGAGUGAAGAAGGCCUUAGGGUUGUAAAACUCUUUCAUCGGUGAAGAUAAUGACGGUAGCCGAAGAAGAAGCCCCGGCUAACUCCGUGCCAGCAGCCGCGGUAAUACGGAGGGGGCGAGCGUUGUUCGGAAUUACUGGGCGUAAAGCGCACGUAGGCGGAUUGGUCAGUUGGGGGUGAAAUCCCGAGGCUUAACCUCGGAACUGCCCUCAAUACUGCCAAUCUAGAGAUCGGAAGAGGUAAGUGGAAUUCCUAG